UGCCCGGCUCGGGCGAGGUCGCGGGGCGCUCCCGGGUUUGUCGUGCCCGGUUCGGGCCGUGCUCGGGGCGCUCCCGGGUUUGUCGUGCCCGGUUCGGGCGG
This is a non-coding RNA of Turdus rufiventris (rufous-bellied thrush), 101 nucleotides long. Lineage: Eukaryota; Metazoa; Chordata; Aves; Passeriformes; Turdidae. The record is from the annotation of a GenBank genome assembly.